This 440-nucleotide ribosomal RNA is filed under the name uncultured bacterium. RNAcentral describes it as "partial 16S ribosomal RNA". It matches the Rfam family "Bacterial small subunit ribosomal RNA", at positions 338 to 795 of the family's 1533-position model. The record is from RNAcentral.
CCUACGGGAGGCAGCAGUGGGGAAUAUUGCACAAUGGGGGGAACCCUGAUGCAGCGACGCCGCGUGAGUGAAGAAGUAUUUCGGUAUGUAAAGCUCUAUCAGCAGGGAAGAAAAUGACGGUACCUGACUAAGAAGCCCCGGCUAACUACGUGCCAGCAGCCGCGGUAAUACGUAGGGGGCAAGCGUUAUCCGGAUUUACUGGGUGUAAAGGGAGCGCAGACGGCUGUGCAAGUCUGGAGUGAAAGGCGGUGGCCCAACCCCCGGACUGCUCUGGAAACUGUACAGCUGGAGUGCAGGAGAGGUAAGCGGAAUUCCUAGUGUAGCGGUGAAAUGCGUAGAUAUUAGGAGGAACACCAGUGGCGAAGGCGGCUUACUGGACUGCAACUGACGUUGAGGCUCGAAAGCGUGGGGAGCAAACAGGAUUAGAUACCCUAGUAGUC